RNAcentral lists this ribosomal RNA (381 nucleotides) under uncultured bacterium. Its description in RNAcentral is "partial 16S ribosomal RNA". It matches the Rfam family "Bacterial small subunit ribosomal RNA", at positions 338 to 736 of the family's 1533-position model. The record is from RNAcentral.
CCUACGGGAGGCAGCAGUGAGGGAUAUUGGUCAAUGGGGGAAACCCUGAACCAGCAACGCCGCGUGAGGGAAGACGGUUUUCGGAUUGUAAACCUCUGUCCUCUGUGAAGAUAAUGACGGUAGCAGAGGAGGAAGCUCCGGCUAACUACGUGCCAGCAGCCGCGGUAAUACGUAGGGAGCAAGCGUUGUCCGGAUUUACUGGGUGUAAAGGGUGCGUAGGCGGGAUUGCAAGUCAGAGGUGAAAUCUGAUGGCUUAACCAUUGAACUGCAUUUGAAACUGUUAUUCUAGAGUAUGGGAGAGGGAGGGGGAACAGUGGGGGUAGGGGGAACAGCCGGAGAGAGGAAGAGGAAUAAUCAGGGCGAAGGGGACCUGGUAGAACA